UACGGAGGGGGCUAGCGUUGUUCGGAAUUACUGGGCGUAAAGCGCACGUAGGCGGCUUUGUAAGUCAGAGGUGAAAGCCUGGAGCUCAACUCCAGAACUGCCUUUGAGACUGCAUCGCUUGAAUCCAGGAGAGGUGAGUGGAAUUCCGAGUGUAGAGGUGAAAUUCGUAGAUAUUCGGAAGAACACCAGUGGCGAAGGCGGCUCACUGGACUGGUAUUGACGCUGAGGUGCGAAAGCGUGGGGAGCAAACAGGG
RNAcentral lists this ribosomal RNA (254 nucleotides) under uncultured bacterium. RNAcentral describes it as "partial 16S ribosomal RNA". It matches the Rfam family "Bacterial small subunit ribosomal RNA", at positions 524 to 777 of the family's 1533-position model. The record is from RNAcentral.